This 1515-nucleotide ribosomal RNA is filed under the name metagenome. Its description in RNAcentral is "bacterial LSU rRNA". It matches the Rfam family "Bacterial large subunit ribosomal RNA", at positions 1391 to 2925 of the family's 2925-position model. The record is from RNAcentral.
CUAAGGAGAGGUCGAAAGACGUAUCCGAUGGACAGCAGGUUUAGAUUCCUGUACCGCAUAUAAACAGAACUGUGGGGACGCAUGUGGAAAGCAUAAGCCGGGAAUGGAAAUACCGGUACAAACGGAAGAGGUGUCAGGCUGGCAAAUCCGCCUGGCAAGCCAAAGACGUGAUGUGGAGCGAAAUAAAAGUAGCGAAGUAUGUGAGCCAUGUGCCGAGAAAAGCCGCUAUUGUUUUAUAUGUGCCCGUACCGUAAACCGACACAGGUGGAUGAGGAGAGAAUCCUAAGGCCGACGGAAGAAGCAUUGUUAAGGAACUCGGCAAAAUGACCCCGUAACUUCGGGAGAAGGGGUGCCCACUUCAGGGUGGGCCGCAGAGAAUAGGCUCAAGCAACUGUUUAGCAAAAACACAGGUCUAUGCGAAACCGUAAGGUGAAGUAUAUGGGCUGACGCCUGCCCGGUGCUGGAAGGUUAAGAGGAGAGGUUAGUCGCAAGAUGAAGCUUUGAAUUUAAGCCCCAGUAAACGGCGGCCGUAACGAUAACGGUCCUAAGGUAGCGAAAUUCCUUGUCGGGUAAGUUCCGACCCGCACGAAAGGCGUAAUGAUUUGAGCACUGUCUCGACAAUGCAUCCGGUGAAAUUGAAGUACCAGUGAAGAUGCUGGUUACCCGCGCCAGGACGGAAAGACCCCAUGGAGCUUUACUCCAGUUUGGUACUGGGAUUCGGUACUGCAUGUACAGGAUAGGUGGGAGACUGAGAAAUUGGAACGCCAGUUUCAAUGGAGUCACUGUUGGGAUACCACCCCUGCAGUAUUGGGUUUCUAACCAGCCGCUGUGAUCCAGCGGUGGGACAAUGCCAGGCGGGGAGUUUGACUGGGGCGGUCGCCUCCGAAAGGGUAUCGGAGGCGCUCAAAGGUUCCCUCAGAAUGGUCGGAAACCAUUUUAAGAGUGCAAAGGCAGAAGGGAGCUUGACUGCGACACCGACGGGUGGAGCAGGUACGAAAGUAGGACUUAGUGAUCCGGUGGCAUAAAGUGGGAUUGCCAUCGCUCAACGGAUAAAAGCUACCCUGGGAUAACAGGCUUGUCACUCCCAAGAGUUCACAUCGACGGAGUGGUUUGGCACCUCGAUGUCGGCUCAUCGCAUCCUGGGGCUGUAGCAGGUCCCAAGGGUUGGGCUGUUCGCCCAUUAAAGCGGUACGCGAGCUGGGUUCAGAACGUCGUGAGACAGUUCGGUCCCUAUCCGGCGCGGGCGGAGGAUAUUUGAGAGGAGCUGUCCUUAGUACGAGAGGACCGGGAUGGACGGACCACUGGUGUAUCUGCUGUCGACCAACGGCAUGGCAGAGUAGCCAAGUCCGGAAGGGAUAAACGCUGAAGGCAUCUAAGCGUGAAGCCCCCCUCAAGAUGAGAUAUCCCUCACAUAAGUGAGUAAGAUCCCUUGAAGAGUACAAGGUAGAUAGGGCAGAGGUGGAAGCACGGUAACGAGUGGAGCUGACUGUUACUAAUCGAUCGAGGGCUUGACCG